RNAcentral lists this ribosomal RNA (751 nucleotides) under Brevundimonas nasdae. Its description in RNAcentral is "bacterial SSU rRNA". It matches the Rfam family "Bacterial small subunit ribosomal RNA", at positions 83 to 870 of the family's 1533-position model. The record is from RNAcentral. Lineage: Bacteria; Pseudomonadati; Pseudomonadota; Alphaproteobacteria; Caulobacterales; Caulobacteraceae.
UCUUCGGACUUAGUGGCGGACGGGUGAGUAACACGUGGGAACGUGCCCUUUGGUACGGAAUAACUCAGGGAAACUUGAGCUAAUACCGUAUGUGCCCUUCGGGGGAAAGAUUUAUCGCCAUUGGAGCGGCCCGCGUCUGAUUAGCUAGUUGGUGGUGUAAUGGACCACCAAGGCGACGAUCAGUAGCUGGUCUGAGAGGAUGAUCAGCCACAUUGGGACUGAGACACGGCCCAAACUCCUACGGGAGGCAGCAGUGGGGAAUCUUGCGCAAUGGGCGAAAGCCUGACGCAGCCAUGCCGCGUGAAUGAUGAAGGUCUUAGGAUUGUAAAAUUCUUUCACCGGGGACGAUAAUGACGGUACCCGGAGAAGAAGCCCCGGCUAACUUCGUGCCAGCAGCCGCGGUAAUACGAAGGGGGCUAGCGUUGCUCGGAAUUACUGGGCGUAAAGGGAGCGUAGGCGGACAUUUAAGUCAGGGGUGAAAUCCCGGGGCUCAACCUCGGAAUUGCCUUUGAUACUGGGUGUCUUGAGUAUGAGAGAGGUGUGUGGAACUCCGAGUGUAGAGGUGAAAUUCGUAGAUAUUCGGAAGAACACCAGUGGCGAAGGCGACACACUGGCUCAUUACUGACGCUGAGGCUCGAAAGCGUGGGGAGCAAACAGGAUUAGAUACCCUGGUAGUCCACGCCGUAAACGAUGAUUGCUAGUUGUCGGGAUGCAUGCAUUUCGGUGACGCAGCUAACGCAUUAAGCAAUCC